RNAcentral lists this long non-coding RNA (6150 nucleotides) under Sus scrofa (pig). RNAcentral describes it as "lncRNA (ENSSSCG00055020728.1)". Lineage: Eukaryota; Metazoa; Chordata; Mammalia; Artiodactyla; Suidae. The record is from RNAcentral.
ACACCUGCAGCAUAUAGGAAGUUUAGGAUCUGCCAUUGUCACUGUUGUGGCUCGGGUCACUGCUGUGGUGUGGGUUCCAUCCCUGACUUGGGAACUUUCACAUGCUGUGGGCGUGGCCAAAACAAAACCCCAAAGCAGACAACCAAAAGAACCUCAUGUAUCUGAGAAGCCUACAGGACAUCUAGGUGGAGCUACCACAUGGGCAGAAGGCAGAAUGUCAUAGAGGAAAACACUGAGAAUCCAGAGGACCCUGGAUUUGGGCUUUGUCACUUACCAGCUCUGUGACCUAGGGCAUGUCCUCAGCAUCUCUUAACUCAAGUUUUUAACUUAGAAAAUGGAAGUGAUAAGACUCGCUGCCAUAACGAACUCAGAAUGAUUUUAUACUAAGCUAAAAUUUAACAAUACAUUUUAAACUGUAUUUUCUUAAAUGCAUUUGUAUUUUUAUUUUAUUUUUUGGCUGCCCCCUGAAGCAUAUGGAAAUUACUGGGCCAGGGAUUGAACCCAGGCCACAGAAGCAAUCCAAGCCGCUCCAGUGACAAUGCCAGCUCUUUAACCCACUUCGCCACCAAAGAAUUCCUAAAAAUGUAUUUUUAAAGGGUAGAGACCUUUUAUGAGAACUCCUAGUUAUUAAUAUUGUUGUUGCCCUGAAGGACUGUGGUGUACCCCUUAAUAGAUCCUGGGACUAGUCAAUUCAACCUCACAGCAUCAGCAUCAUUAACAUCUGACUUGUUAAAACUACAAAUAAGUCCUUCUCUUUUGGCCAACGGCCUUGCAAAUGGGUGUGACAGCCAAGGAGUCUAAGCACAUCAUCAGCAGUGGAAAUAUUCCAUAGUGACGUAUUCCACUUCAAACAGAAAAAGGAGUUAUUAAUAUGAGGAUUAGGAGGUGCUGUCUGUUCCUGGUAAUGACACAACAACUCACACUCACAUAAAUGGAUUCUCCUGACAGGCUCCGGAGUCUUUCCUCUUUUUCAGAAAGUCAAACACACCUCUCUUAUUUGAACCCACCCAGACUUCUAAGCUGCCACUUUCUUCUUCAGCUAUCAUCUAGGACUUCACCCCUAUGCCCCAGGCCUACUGAUUCAGUGCCUGAUUCCAGGAGGGGUGAGCCACUUCCUGGCAACUUCCCGUAGCUACUGGCUUUCCCCCAGCAGAGGUGGACCCACUGAGUAUCCUAGGGCUGAAGAUAUAUCAGCAUUCUGACUUCAGGUCAGUUCUGGGUUCUGUGAGAGUCUGGUGGAGAGGAACAGAAAAGGGCCCCCAGUUCUGACGACUGUCUUCAAGAUUCCUCAUACCAGGGAGUUUCCAUCGUGGCUCAGAGGGUUAAGAAUUUGACCAGUAUCCAUGAGGAUGGAGGCUCGAUCCCUGGCCUUGCUCAGUGGGUUAAGCGUUGCCGUGAGCUGAGUAGGCUGGCAGCAUAGCUCCGAUUCGACCCUUAGCCUGGGAACUUCUAUAUGCUGCCAGUGCAGCCCCAAAUACAUAUAUGUAUUAAAAAAAAAAAAAAAAAAAAGGAUUCCUAACAUCAGACACACUUGCAACCCUGCCCUGAAUUGGAGACAGACCUGUCAGGGACAGUGUUCUGUCAGAGGCCGGCUCUUGUCCCCCAAAUGAACCUUAGGUGCGGGUUCCUUGUGGGAUGGAAAAGUUGAGUUUCUGAGCAGAAUCAAUAGGGCGAUAUCUUUUGCCUGUCUCAAGUUCUCUGAUGUGAUAGAAAAGCAAUAAUGUGUCUGGGAAUGGACUCAUAAACAGUUAUUCAUUUUAUGGCAUAAUAAAAGUACGGCAGGACUGAAUUGGGAUUUAGGCAAAGAAUUGGGCUGGCAGUAAGACGAUGUAUUUUUUCUUGCCAACUUGCUUACUGUGACAUCUUUAAUAAAUCACCAAGUGGCUCCUGACCUCCACUAGAGAAACAGGAAUAGGACUGGCAGCAUACAGUAGGUCAACAGGUAGUGGUAACAACUGUGAUACAGAGUGAAGGUUUACUACGCGCUAGGCUUGCUUUUUUUUUUUUUAUUAUUAAAGCAUGGUUGAUUGACAAUGUUGUGCCAUUUUCUGCCGUACAGCAAAGUGACCCAGCUCUCUCUCUCCACACACACACACACACACACACACACACACACAACUUCUUUUUCUCAUAUUGUCCCUCAUCACAUUCUAUUUCAAAAGAUUAGACACAGUUCCCUGUGUUCUACAGUAGGACCUCAUUGCCCAUCCAUUCUAUUUUUUUUGUUUGUUUGUUUGUUUUCCUUUUAGGGCCGAACCUGCAGCAUAUGGAAGUUCCUAGACUAAGGGUUGAAUUGGAGCUACAGCCACCGGCCUACGCCACAGCCAUGGCAACGCCUGAUCCUUAACCCACUGAGCAAGGCCAGGGAUGGAACCUGCAUCCUCAUGGAUACUAGUCAGGUUUGUGACCCUCUGAGCUACAAUGGGAACUCCGUGCCCAUCCACUCGAAAUGUAAUAGUUUACAUCUACGAGGCUCUCUUCUUCAAUGAACAGAAUAGAAAAAAAGAAUUAUUCCUAGACUCAUGUUCUAGUGAGGAGGAAAGACAUAAACAAUACACAAAAAGGGAAAUUAUUUUGUAUGUUGGAAAUGGAGAGGUGCUGUCUUAAGGGAAAACACAGAGUGGCUGAGGUGGAUUUGGAGCCAGAGAGUGGAUGGGAGUGUUCCAGGCUCUUGAGAGGUCUGGACUCUAGCUCUGGCUAGCGAGUCCCCGCAUUCAUAACACAUAAAUCAUACUGUGCUCGGGUCACGGGUGGCGGUGAUGACUCAGUGACGUCAAGGAAGAAAAAGCACUUGAGCAUUCAAAUCUUACUAUUACUAUCUUUAUUUCUCAUCUCAACUACUUAGACUCCUGAAUCAAGAUUCUCAGAUCAAAAGGACUACAGAGACAAAGGGUCAUGUUUUAAAAUUACAAAGAAAACCAAGGAUAUAGUUUAGUCCAGGUGGUUUUUUUCAAGAUAUGGCCCAUUAUGGAAAUUAAAGCGAUGCUUGCAGAAACAGAAGCAUCUCUAAGGUUCACCCAGGGCAGACAUCUGCAGGCUAAGGUUUUAGUUCCAGGAGUAAAAACAAAGCAAAACAAAACAAAGAGAGAAAAACAUUUAAAAAGAUUUAUCAGUUUUAAAACAAAGCUUUUGAAUUUUAUAACAGGCCUAACGAGCCUCCAGAGGCUGGCUCUUUGGCGAAUGACACACCUGAACAAUAAUCAGAAAAGGUAAAAUUGCCUCCUCUGGGUAUUGACGUUAACAGAUUUGACUUUUUCUUUGUCAUGCCAGGAACACAGCGCUUCUGGCAGAGGUGUGAAUUUCAGUGCCUCGCUUGCAGAACUGCUGACCUCUGUGGGAAAUGUUUAAGUCCUUUGAUGUUACUUAUUGUUGAGCAAACAGUAUUUCUGGCACUAAAAACAUUUUGGGUUUAUAUGUUUCCAUCAAUCUUUAUUCAAUGACAUUAUCAUGGCUCACCUAUUACAGAUAUUUCUCAACUGAGACUUCUUGAAAGGGCAGAGGAUUGGAGAGAGUAUAUAUUGAAAUGACCAAAAGAUUUUGUUGCUUCCCCCACCCCUGCCUUUUGCUUACAGAGGUCAUAAAAUCACUCCUGGGAGAAGACUUUUUUAUUAGAAAACAGUAAAAGUAUCUCUCCUUGGCCUUUGUCCUAUAUUAGGUAAAUGUUGCACAUCUUGAAGCUAAAACUAUCAAAAAAAAAAAUCAGGCCUCCUUCCCUCCCGUCUCCCUUCCUCCCUCCAUCCCUCCUUCCUCCCUUCUCUUCCCCUCUUCCCUCUCCCGUCUCCUUCCCUCCUUCCUUCUCCCUCCCCCUCUUCACAGUAUGUUAGGUGUUUGCUAUGUUCUAGAUGCUGUGCUAUACCGGCACAGACAUAAAACCCAAGAGCUCAUAACUCCUUCUGCCUCUGACCAUGAGGCUGGGUUGUCCAGAACCUAAAAGAAGGUCAUUCCAUUAAUGUGAUAGAGAACUUGGCCUAGCUUUCCCAAUGCUGGGGCAGCAGGAUCAUUAACUACACUAACUGCUUGCAGGGGAAUAGGGUUAAAGGGCCAUAACAUUGCUGACUCUCAACUAGGUCCCCCAAAGACCAUGUUAAGUGAUUUAGGCAAGUUGAUUUCAACUCAGCUAAACUUGAUAAAGGGACUCCUGAGAAACAAGUUGGGCCCAGAGGUGCAAGGAUGAGGAUUAAACCAUCCCUGUCUUCAAGGAGCUUCCAGUUCAAGUCACAUACGAGCUUGACCUCUGGCUUGACUCAGAGCUUGACCUCUGGCUCAUUAAAAACAGCAAAGCAGCUCUGUAAGAACACAUGAUGAGCUGAAGGUCUGAGAAGGGAAGUAAGUUGGCUAAGGAGGCAGUGGAUGACAACCUGUUCGGUCUCCAGAGUAACUUCAAUCACCUCUUCAGGCUUUGUCAGAACUGGGUCUCCAGAUACAGACCUGAUUCAGCCAACUUGCCAGGUCACAGGAUUCAUAUAGAUGCAAUAAGAAGACAGAAGAAUUCUUGCAUAAUGGAUGCUUACUCUGCGUCCAGCACUGUCCAAAGUGCUGGUAUGUACCAAGUAUUUCAUAUUUAGUAUCUCAUUUAAUUCUCACAAACCAUUUGUGUAGGAGGCACUAUUAUUGCCUCAAUUAACACAAGGAAAUUGAGGAAUAAAGAAUUUCUAGAAGAAUUCAUGCACUCAAGAAGUCAAUGAACCAGGAUUUAAGUCUUGGGAAAUAGACUUGGCUAUUGGAAGACUGUGCUAUUCUUUCUAAAUGACUGCCUGGAACAAGCUCUUUCUCUUUUGGUCAUGAUGAUGACUGAUGAUACCAAAUAAAUAUUUCAGCAAUGGAAAUUCCAGCAGAAUGGGUAAGUAAUUAUAUAGAAGAUUUAAACCAAAAACAUCAGAAGGAGUCUAUCUUUAUCACAAAGUCAAGAAAGCCCUCUGUUGACAGCAAGCUGGCUUCUUGUAUGUUUCUUUAAAUCUCACCCUUGAAAGACCUCCUGUCUAUCCAUCUGUCCAUCUAUCCAUUCAUUCAUCCAUCCGACCAUUCAACAAAUAUUUUUGGAGAGUCCACUCUAUGCUUUGCACUGUCUAAGUUGCUGAGGGUAUAAAGUUAAAUACAGGCACUGUCCUUGCCUUCAAGAAAGUUAUCAUGAGGGUAGUUUUUUCUUAUAAAAAAGUAAUUAGAAUCCACUCAUAUCUAUAUUGUAACAGAAGGACAAUAGCCAGCUUGGGGAAGUUAAGAACUUCUAGAGGGGGUGACGAAUAAGCAAAGAAUUAGAGCUGCUUGGAGGAACACGACAAUUUUGCGUGUGUGUGUGUGUGUGUGUGUGUGUGUGUGUAUAAACUGAGGAAUAGUGAAAGGGUGAAUGACUGGAACAUUCCAGAAACUACUGGUAGCAUUAGGAGUAGAGGACACCAGACUAAGAAUUAGAAGAACUUGGGUUUUCUUCCUUGGCUUGGCAUUCAUGGAAGUAUGAUACUAGGGAAGCCCUGCUCUCUUUCUGAGACUUAAACUUUCCUCAUACAUUAGACACGACUCUUCAUAUAUUGUUUACCUCUCACUCAAAGGGAUGUGAUUAAAUAUUUUACGAAGCUUUAAGAAGAACAUCUGAUUAAUAAAAAUUACUAUGAUUAUAAACAAAUUUAUCCUCUCCAUUCUCCAACUGUCCCUCACCCUAUAAGGACAGGUCUCAACCUUAAGGGGAAGAAAAAUGACCAAUGACUGGACAAAUAAUAAUAAAGGGACGUGGUAUCUCCUGUACCAGGAGAUGUCCAGAUGUUUUUCUCUGGCUUCUUUAUGUCUUCCUAAAAGUCUACACCAUACCUUACUACUGACUAAUGCUUAUUUUGUUUUUACAUUUGGCCUUUUCUCCCCCUCUCAGUUUCACAGGGGACUCUCACAUCUGCCCUUCCCCCUCCCCAGGCACCAUUUUCACGCCUCUGGUGUUGACUACAAUGACUAAAGGCUGGAAAUCUACAGCAAACUCUGGGAACUUAACGAGUUAACUUGGGGUGGGUUCUGACUCCCAGCUGAGCACAUCAGGAUGAAAGCAUUCAGAAAAUAAACUCCCAUAUCUUCUCUCUGAUUUCCCCCUUCAUUACAGACACUAGCACAUCUUACAGUUCCCUAUGGAAGGACUUCGCUGUUAGAAGAGAACAGCCACAGCUGCCC